CCAUCUAUCACACUUCCCGUUGAAAUUUCGAAUGGCCUAGGAUUACCCACUCUUCUCUAAACCAUCUCAAGAUUCCCACUAUAGCCUCGAUGGUACUUUUUUUGAAGAAGAUAACUUAUAUUAUAAACAACAGGAAUACUCAGAAAAGUAUUGCCUCGAUGGUACUUGGCAAUGUAGAACAAGAUAAUUGGCAUCUUUACCCUAAUCCUUGCACAUAAAGCACCAAUCAACAUAAGUAACCUUUUUCUGCUUCAUAGCUGCUAACCGAGUGAAAGAAUAUACCUUACGUGGUAUCUUAGGCAUCCGAAUUGAUUGAUAUGGGAAGACAACAUUUUCCCUCUUUAAAAACAUCUCAUAAUAAGACUUUACAUAAAAGACCCAUUGUUCCCCACCCCUAUUUCUCACCUUUCGCUAUCAUGUGUUCAACAUUGUUUGUGAAGCAAAGCGACUAGUCCUGGGAACUCUCCUACCUCUCAACCUUGAAGAUUUCUCCUAAACCUCAAAUUCAAAAAACCUUCUCCACCUCAUAGGCUCCCGACUCGUUGGACUGUCAUCUUCUUUUGAUAUAAAAUUCUAUAAAUGUAUGGGUAUGUAGUUCUCGAAAUAUUAUCCCCACGCCACCUAUAUCCCUAAAAGCUCACUCUCUUCACUCGAAAUAUUGCAAAUGAACUCUUCCAACUCUUGAACAUGUUCCUCCACCAACCGCAUCCAUAAGGCAUAGUAACAGUUUUUGUCCGCCACCCCUAUUCCAAGACCCUGUAUUUUUCCCUAUUACCUAUCUUCUAUGUUGCUUGGACUCUUCCAAAUGCC
Molecule: long non-coding RNA, 810 nt
Filed under: Solanum tuberosum (potato)
Lineage: Eukaryota; Viridiplantae; Streptophyta; Magnoliopsida; Solanales; Solanaceae
Description: long non-coding RNA (STUB_LNC005525)
Source: RNAcentral